This 450-nucleotide ribosomal RNA is filed under the name uncultured bacterium. RNAcentral's name for it is "partial 16S ribosomal RNA". It matches the Rfam family "Bacterial small subunit ribosomal RNA", at positions 354 to 796 of the family's 1533-position model. The record is from RNAcentral.
GUGGGGAAUUUUGGACAAUGGGCGCAAGCCUGAUCCAGCAAUGCCGCGUGCAGGAAGAAGGCCUUCGGGUUGUAAACUGCUUUUGUACGGAACGAAACGGUCCGGGUUAAUACCCUGGGCUAAUGACGGUACCGUAAGAAUAAGCACCGGCUAACUACGUGCCAGCAGCCGCGGUAAUACGUAGGGUGCAAGCGUUAAUCGGAAUUACUGGGCGUAAAGCGUGCGCAGGCGGUUUUGUAAGUUGGAGGUGAAAUCCCCGGGCUCAACCUGGGAAUUGCGCUUGUGACUGCAAGGCUGGAGUGCGGCAGAGGGGGAUGGAAUUCCGCGUGUAGCAGUGAAAUGCGUAGAUAUGCGGAGGAACACCGAUGGCGAAGGCAAUCCCCUGGGCCUGCACUGACGCUCAUGCACGAAAGCGUGGGGAGCAAACAGGAUUAGAUACCCGUGUAGUCC